UGCCACAGCCAUAUCACCCUGUAGCCCUAGACUGGUUAUUCUCUGAAGCUAAGCAGGGUUGAGCCUGGUCAGUACCUGGGUGACCACAUGGAAAAACUAGGUUGCUGUUGGAA
Molecule: ribosomal RNA, 113 nt
Filed under: Danio rerio (zebrafish)
Lineage: Eukaryota; Metazoa; Chordata; Actinopteri; Cypriniformes; Danionidae
Source: RNAcentral